Molecule: ribosomal RNA, 600 nt
Filed under: uncultured bacterium
Lineage: Bacteria
Description: bacterial SSU rRNA
Rfam family: Bacterial small subunit ribosomal RNA
Source: RNAcentral
AGUGGCAAACGGGUGAGUAAUGCAUAGGAACGUGCUCAUGAGUGGGGGAAAGCUGCUGGAAACGGCAGGUAAUACCGCAUGUGCCCUAAGGGGUAAAGAUUUCGAUCGCUCAUGAAGCGGCCUAUGUCAGAUUAGGUAGUUGGUGGGGUAAUGGCCUACCAAGCCUGCGAUCUGUAGCUGGUCUGAGAGGACGAUCAGCCACACUAGGACUGAGAUACGGCCUAGACUCCUACGGGAGGCAGCAGUAGGGAAUAUUGGACAAUGGGGGAAACCCUGAUCCAGCGAUGCCGCGUGAAUGAUGAAGGCUUUAGGGUCGUAAAAUUCUUUUAGUAGGGACGAUGAUGACGGUACCUACUGAAUAAGCACCGGCAAACUUCGUGCCAGCAGCCGCGGUAAUACGAAGGGUGCAAGCGUUGUUCGGAAUUAUUGGGCGUAAAGGGCGCGUAGGCGGGCUCUUAAGUUGGUUGUUAAAUUCCGGAGCUUAACUCCGUGAGUGCAUUCAAUACUGAGAGCCUAGAGUUUGGAAGAGGAAAGCGGAAUUCCUAGUGUAGAGGUGAAAUUCGUAGAUAUUGGGAGGAACGCCAAUGGCGGAAGCAGCUU